CAAUUCAAUAUAGUUUGAUCAGUAUUAUAAGAUUUUAAUUAUUAAAUUGAUUAUAUUUUUGUAAAUCAUUUUUUAAGUUAUUGUAUUAGUUAUAGAUAAAAUUUAGUUAAUUAUUUUAAGUACUGUGAAGGAAUAUUUUGUAAUAAGUUUUAUUGUAAAAUAAGUUGUAUUUAUUGUAUGUACCUUGUGUAUCAGGGUUGAUUUAAUUAGGAAUAUUAAUUUUAUUUUUCUCGAUUUCUUAAGAGUUAAUUAUUUAUUUUAGUUAAUGUGUUAAAUUUAUUAAUAAUAAGUUAUUAGUGAUGAAAUGUCAUUCGUUUAAGAGGGUAUCUAGUUUCCUUGGAAAUAAAUUUAAUUUAGAUUUUCUUUUGGAUUAUUAAUAUUAAUGAAUAAUUUUUAAAGAAAAUUUAUAAUAAAAGGGAUAAGCUUUUUAUUAAAUUUUUAAAAGAUUAAUAGUAGAUAAAUACCAUGGAUUUAAGGUUGAUUAUUGUUGAAAGUAUGUUAAAAUUUUACUUAGUUAUAUUGUUGAUUUAAUGUUCUUUAACAGUUUACUAGGAUAUAUUAAUUAUUGAUAAACUAAUAUUAUUUAUGAUUAAAUUAGUAAAUAAAAUAUAUUGAGAAAUAUAGGGGAUUUAAGUUGUGAGUGAGGAAUUCGGCAAUAAUUUAUUCGCCUGUUUAACAAAAACAUCUCUUUCUGAAUUUUUUAGAAGGUAUUACCUGCCCAAUGAAUAAUAUUAAAUGGCCGCGGUAUCUUGACCGUGCAAAGGUAGCAUAAUCAUUAGUCUUUUAAUUGAAGGCUGGAAUGAAUGGUUGGACGAGAUAAAUGCUUUCUUAUUACAAUUAUAUUGAAGUUAAUUAUUGAGUAAAAAAGCUUAAAUUUUUUUAUGGGACGAGAAGACCCUAUAGAGUUUAAUAUAUAAAAUGAUUUAUAAAAUUUUUGUGAAUUGAAAGUUAAAUGUUUAUAUAUUUUGUUGGGGUGACAGAAAGAUUAAAUAAACUCUUUUUAGAUUUUAAUUAUUAAUAAGUAUAUUAAUGAUCCAUCAUUGAUGAUUAUAAGACUAAAUUACCUUAGGGAUAACAGCGUAAUCUUUUCUGAGAGUUCAAAUCGAAGUUAAGGAUUGCGACCUCGAUGUUGGAUUUAAGAUUAGAAUUGGGUGUAACAGCUAAAAUUUCUAGGUCUGUUCGACCUUUAAUUUCUUACAUGAUCUGAGUUCAAACCGGCGUGAGCCAGGUUGGUUUCUAUCUAUUGUUAUAUAAUAUAUCUUAGUACGAAAGGACCAGAUAUAUAGAAUAAUUUUUUGUUGUGAAUAAUAUUAAAGACUAUUUUGGCAGAGAAGUGUGAUAGAUUUAGAAUCUAUAAAUGUAAUUG
RNAcentral lists this ribosomal RNA (1366 nucleotides) under Rhyparobia sp. B054. Its description in RNAcentral is "16S ribosomal RNA". The stretch from base 882 to 1244 matches the Rfam family "Archaeal large subunit ribosomal RNA", at positions 2152 to 2714 of the family's 2987-position model. The record is from RNAcentral. Lineage: Eukaryota; Metazoa; Arthropoda; Insecta; Blattodea; Blaberidae.